UAAAACUUUGCCAAAUCUGAAAUUCCCUCGUCCCCUUUAUUUUUAAUUUCCCUCCAACCCAUUUUCAUUAAAUAGUUAAUAAAAUAAAAAAAUCCCUUUCUCUCCAUCUUCGCAAACAAACCAACCCUCCACCCAAAACCUUUCUCGCGAAGGCCUCCAUUAUUCGUCCCACCCUCUGCCGAUUCGUUGUUCACCUCUGCUGGCAUUUGGUGUGCAGCUUGGACUUUAACCCUCUGCUUCGUCGUCCCAUCCUUUGUCGCAUGUUGAGAGGAUCAGGGAGAAGAGAGAUGGCUUGGUGUGCGAGUUGGACCUUUCACAUGUCGAUGUCUUACUUCAAGACUCCCUUGGUCGUCGACAUUGGUUAUGCUUUAGUGGUCGAAACCAAAUCUAAUAGUGAUUUUUCAAGGAAGACAAAAAACCCGGUGACUGAACGACGGGUAUCAGGACAUGAUCCCCAAUCAGCACAUGCAAAUGCUUUUAAGGAUAGAUCAUCUGUUUUGGAUAGAAAUAUUCCUUGGUCCGGUGAUCCUUUGAUGUAUCACAAAAGAUAAUUAGUUGCACUCAUAUGAGUCUUGUCAGGUUUGCCAUGUAUUGGUUGAGUUUAUGAACAACAAAUGUGAUGUCCGAUCUUGAAAUGGUUAAGUACAAAAGUUUUCCAAUUAAUCUUCGAUAAGUACUUGGAUCUUGAAGAAGAUCUUUGUCAGAAGCUUUUAACUUGAUUGUCGGAUCCAUAGGUACUGAUGCCGGUUUAGCACCAAGCAAACCAGCUUCUUCUAGCAAGCAUAGUGCAUAGUGUUUUUAUGACAAUAGGAUACCAGUUGAUGAACGAGCUAAUUCAAGACCAAGGAAGAAUUUGAGAGAUCCCAAGUCUUUAAGCAGAAACUUUUGAUUGAGCACAUUUCGUAAUCUUUGAAUAAGAUCAACGUUUGCUCCAGUGAUGAUAAUAUCAUCAACAUAGACAAGUAGAGCUAUAAAGUUGGUGCCUUGGCCUUUUACAAAAAGAGAAUAGUCAGCCUUGGACUGUUAAAAACCUAUUGAAAUGAGGAAUUGGGAGAAUUUGGUAAACCAUUGACGUGAGGCCUCUUUUAGUCCAUAUAUAGAUUUUUGAAGUUUGCCUACAAUUUUCUCCCCCUGAAUGGUGAGGUUCGGUUUAUAACCCAAUGGCAAGUCCAUGUAUACUUCUUCAAACAAGUCUCCAUGAAGAAAUGCAUUGUUCACAUCUAAUUGAAAUAGAUGCCAAUCUUUCAAUACUGCUAUAGUUAGCAGGGUUUGAAAGUCACCAUUGUCGCGACGUGAUCGCUACGUGGAGCGGCCGACCUCGAUCGUUUAUUUAAUUUUAAUAAAUAAAUAGUUUUGGAGUCGUCAUCAACCAUAUUAGGGUGUGAUUUGUCACCCAAAAAAGAAAAAAAA
Molecule: long non-coding RNA, 1410 nt
Organism: Cucumis sativus (cucumber)
Lineage: Eukaryota; Viridiplantae; Streptophyta; Magnoliopsida; Cucurbitales; Cucurbitaceae
Exons: 2
Source: RefSeq, a predicted model, not a curated record